UCUCCUAUGGAUUUAUCCCCUGGUGGACGGU
This 31-nucleotide non-coding RNA is filed under the name Rattus norvegicus (Norway rat). The record is from RNAcentral. Lineage: Eukaryota; Metazoa; Chordata; Mammalia; Rodentia; Muridae.